Molecule: ribosomal RNA, 404 nt
Filed under: Fusobacteriota bacterium
Lineage: Bacteria; Fusobacteriati; Fusobacteriota
Description: Fusobacteria bacterium partial 16S ribosomal RNA
Rfam family: Bacterial small subunit ribosomal RNA
Source: RNAcentral
UGGGGAAUAUUGCACAAUGGAGGGAACUCUGAUGCAGCGACGCCGCGUGAGUGAUGAAGGAAUUCGUUUCGUAAAACUCUGUUCUAUGGGAAGAAAAGGACUGUACCAUAGGAGAAAGCUCCGGCUAAAUACGUGCCAGCAGCCGCGGUAAUACGUAUGGAUCGAGCGUUGUCCGGAAUUAUUGGGCGUAAAGGGUGCGCAGGCGGCUUUACAAGUUGGAUGUGAAAUAUUGUGGCUCAACAACAAACGUGCAACCAAAACUGCAAAGCUUGAGUUACGUAGAGGUGAGUGGAAUUCCUGGUGUAGCGGUGGAAUGCGUCGAUAUCAGGAGGAAUACCGGUGGCGAAGGCGACUUACUGGACUUAAACUGACGCUCAGGCACGAAAGCGUGGGGAGCAAACAGG